This 246-nucleotide ribosomal RNA is filed under the name uncultured bacterium. Its description in RNAcentral is "partial 16S ribosomal RNA". It matches the Rfam family "Bacterial small subunit ribosomal RNA", at positions 362 to 600 of the family's 1533-position model. The record is from RNAcentral.
UAUUGGACAAUGGGGGCAACCCUGAUCCAGCCAUGCCGCGUGAGUGAAGAAGGCCCUCGGGUUGUAAAGCUCUUUUGUCCGGAAAGAAAAGCUUCGGGUUAAUACCCCGGGGUUCUGACGGUACCGGCAGAAUAAGCACCGGCUAACUUCGUGCCAGCAGCCGCGGUAAUACGAAGGGUGCAAGCGUUACUCGGAAUUACUGGGCGUAAAGCGUGCGUAGGUGGUUGUUUAAGUCUGAUGUGAAAG